GUGGGGAAUAUUGCACAAUGGGCGAAAGCCUGAUGCAGCAACGCCGCGUGAGUGAUGAAGGCCUUCGGGUUGUAAAGCUCUGUCUUCUGGGACGAUAAUGACGGUACCAGAGGAGGAAGCCACGGCUAACUACGUGCCAGCAGCCGCGGUAAUACGUAGGUGGCAAGCGUUGUCCGGAUUUACUGGGCGUAAAGAGUGCGUAGGCGGCGAGCCAAGUUUGGUGUGAAAUCUCCCGGCUUAACCGGGAGGGUGCGCCGAAAACUGGUUGGCUGGAGUAUGGGAGAGGAAAGCGGAAUUCCUGGUGUAGCGGUGAAAUGCGUAGAUAUCAGGAGGAACACCUGCGGUGUAGACAGCUUUCUGGACCAAAACUGGCGCUGAGGCACGAAAGCGUGGGUAGCAAACA
This 403-nucleotide ribosomal RNA is filed under the name uncultured bacterium. RNAcentral's name for it is "bacterial SSU rRNA". It matches the Rfam family "Bacterial small subunit ribosomal RNA", at positions 354 to 774 of the family's 1533-position model. The record is from RNAcentral.